This 253-nucleotide ribosomal RNA is filed under the name uncultured bacterium. RNAcentral's name for it is "partial 16S ribosomal RNA". It matches the Rfam family "Bacterial small subunit ribosomal RNA", at positions 524 to 776 of the family's 1533-position model. The record is from RNAcentral.
UACAGAGGGCCCGAGCGUUGUUCGGAUUCACUGGGCGUAAAGGGUGCGUAGGUGGUGAGGUAAGUCGGAUGUGAAAUCUCCGAGCUCAACUCGGAAAUGGCAUUGGAAACUACCUUGCUUGAGGGUUGGAGGGGGGACUGGAAUACUUGGUGUAGCAGUGAAAUGCGUAGAUAUCAAGUGGAACACCAGUGGCGAAGGCGAGUCCCUGGACAACUCCUGACACUGAGGCACGAAAGCUAGGGGAGCAAACAGG